This 505-nucleotide ribosomal RNA is filed under the name uncultured Glomus. RNAcentral describes it as "SSU rRNA". It matches the Rfam family "Eukaryotic small subunit ribosomal RNA", at positions 569 to 1076 of the family's 1831-position model. Lineage: Eukaryota; Fungi; Glomeromycota; Glomeromycetes; Glomerales; Glomeraceae. The record is from RNAcentral.
AGCAGCCGCGGUAAUUCCAGCUCCAAUAGCGUAUAUUAAAGUUGUUGCAGUUAAAAAGCUCGUAGUUGAAUUUCGGGGUUAGUAGGUUGGUCAUGCCUCUGGUAUGUACUGGUCUCACUGAUUCCUCCUUCCUGAUGAGCCGUAAUGCCAUUAAUUUGGUGUUGCGGGGAAUUUGGACUGUUACUUUGAAAAAUUAGAGUGUUUAAAGCAAGCUAACGCUUGAAUACAUUAGCAUGGAAUAAUGAAAUAGGACGUUCGAUCCUAUUUUGUUGGUUUCUAGGAUCGACGUAAUGAUUAAUAGGGAUAGUUGGGGGCAUUAGUAUUCAAUUGUCAGAGGUGAAAUUCUUGGAUUUAUUGAAGACUAACUACUGCGAAAGCAUUUGCCAAGGAUGUUUUCAUUAAUCAAGAACGAAAGUUAGGGGAUCGAAGACGAUCAGAUACCGUCGUAGUCUUAACCAUAAACUAAUGCCGACUAGGGAUCGGAUGAUGUUAAUUUUAAUGUACU